This 371-nucleotide ribosomal RNA is filed under the name uncultured eukaryote. RNAcentral describes it as "SSU rRNA". It matches the Rfam family "Eukaryotic small subunit ribosomal RNA", at positions 587 to 969 of the family's 1831-position model. The record is from RNAcentral.
AGCUCCAAUAGCGUAUAUUAAAGUUGUUGCAGUUAAAAAGCUCGUAGUUGGAUUUCUGGGAGGGUGCCAAUGUCCGCCAUCGUGCGUGCGCAGCGGCGCCCUUCCAUCCUUCUGUUAACGCCUCUUGGCAUUCAUUUGCUGGUGGCGGGCUCAGAUAUUUUACCUUGAGAAAAUUAGAGUGUUUCAGGCAGGCUAGGCCGGAAUACAUUAGCAUGGAAUAAUGGAAUAGGACUACGGUCUCUUUGUUGGUUUGAGGGACUGCAGUAAUGAUUAAUAGGGAUAGUUGGGGGCAUUAGUAUUUAAUUGUCAGAGGUGGAAUUCUCGGAUUUGUUAAAGACUAACUUAUGCGAAAGCAUUUGCCAAGGAUGUUU